GUGGGGAAUAUUGGACAAUGGGCGAAAGCCUGAUCCAGCCAUGCCGCGUGUGUGAAGAAGGUCUUCGGAUUGUAAAGCACUUUAAGUUGGGAGGAAGGGCAGUAAGUUAAUACCUUGCUGUUUUGACGUUACCGACAGAAUAAGCACCGGCUAACUUCGUGCCAGCAGCCGCGGUAAUACGAAGGGUGCAAGCGUUAAUCGGAAUUACUGGGCGUAAAGCGCGCGUAGGUGGUUUUGUAAGUUGGAGGUGAAAUCCCCGGGCUCAACCUGGGAACUGUCUCCAAAACUGCAUGACUAGAGUACGGUAGAGGGUAGUGGAAUUUCCUGUGUAGCGGUGAAAUGCGUAGAUAUAGGAAGGAACACCAGUGGCGAAGGCGACUACCUGGACUGAUACUGACACUGAGGUGCGAAAGCGUGGGGAGCAAACAGGAUUAGAAACCCUUGUAGUCC
This 450-nucleotide ribosomal RNA is filed under the name uncultured bacterium. Its description in RNAcentral is "partial 16S ribosomal RNA". It matches the Rfam family "Bacterial small subunit ribosomal RNA", at positions 354 to 796 of the family's 1533-position model. The record is from RNAcentral.